ACGAACGCUGGCGGCGCGCCUAACACAUGCAAGUCGAACGGGGUUAUAUUGGAUGAAGUUUUCGGAUGGAAUUCUAUAUAACCUAGUGGCGGACGGGUGAGUAACACGUGAGCAACCUGCCUAUCAGAGGGGGAUAACGAUUGGAAACGAUCGCUAAUACCGCAUGACAUAGCGGGAAGGCAUCUUCCUGCUAUCAAAGAUUUAUCGCUGAUAGAUGGGCUCGCGUCCGAUUAGAUAGUUGGUGAGGUAACGGCUCACCAAGUCGACGAUCGGUAGCCGGACUGAGAGGUCGAACGGCCACAUUGGGACUGAGACACGGCCCAGACUCCUACGGGAGGCAGCAGUGGGGGAUAUUGCACAAUGGGGGAAACCCUGAUGCAGCGACGCCGCGUGAGGGAAGACGGUCCUCUGGAUUGUAAACCUCUGUCUUCGGGGACGAAACGAGACGGUACCCGAGGAGGAAGCCACGGCUAACUACGUGCCAGCAGCCGCGGUAAUACGUAGGUGGCAAGCGUUGUCCGGAAUUACUGGGUGUAAAGGGAGCGUAGGCGGGCAGGCAAGUCAGGCGUGAAAUAUAUCGGCUCAACCGGUAUCUGCGCUUGAAACUGCAGGUCUUGAGUGAAGUAGAGGUUGGCGGAAUUCCUAGUGUAGCGGUGAAAUGCGUAGAUAUUAGGAGGAACACCAGUGGCGAAGGCGGCCAACUGGGCUUUUACUGACGCUGAGGCUCGAAAGUGUGGGGAGCAAACAGGAUUAGAUACCCUGGUAGUCCACACCGUAAACGAUGAUUACUAGGUGUGGGGGGACUGACCCCUUCCGUGCCGGAGUUAACACAAUAAGUAAUCCACCUGGGGAGUAUGGCAGCAAGGCUGAAACAGGUCUUGACAUGUGUAUGCAUAGUGUAGAGAUACAUGCACAGUCCUUCGGGACAUACAGACAGGUGGUGCAUGGUUGUCGUCAGCUCGUGUCGUGAGAUAGUUGGGUUAAGUCCCGCAACGAGCGCAACCCUUGUAUUUAGUUGCUACGCAAGAGCACUCUAGAUAGACUGCCGUGGACAACACGGAGGAAGGUGGGGAUGACGUCAAAUCAUCAUGCCCCUUAUGACCUGGGCUACACACGUACUACAAUGGCAAUGGAACAGAGGGAAGCGACUCAGCGAUGAGAAGCAGAUCCCGAAAAAUUGUCUCAGUUCGGAUUGCAGGCUGCAACCCGCCUGCAUGAAGUCGGAAUUGCUAGUAAUCGCGGAUCAGCAUGCCGCGGUGAAUACGUUCCCGGGCCUUGUUACACACCGCCCGUCACACCAUGGGAGUCGGUAACACCCGAAGCCCGUAGCCUAACAGCAAUGAGGGUCGCGGUCGAAGGUGG
This 1362-nucleotide ribosomal RNA is filed under the name uncultured bacterium. Its description in RNAcentral is "partial 16S ribosomal RNA". It matches the Rfam family "Bacterial small subunit ribosomal RNA". The record is from RNAcentral.